GUUUUAUUUGUCUAUAUCCUAGAUUCACAGCUGGACACAUCCUUCUACACUGUAUGCAAACAUGCAACAUCAUUACACACAGUACAAGGAGUCAGACUGGCAUAUGAGGAGCAAAGGUGUGUCACACAUAUGAUGUAUUUAGCUAGUGAAACCACUACCAGUCUUAGAUGUAUAACUGAUGAUGACAAAGUUUUUUUUCUCUGCAUAAUCAUAGGAACCCAGGCAGUAGCAUCGUUUCACAAUGUUUCCAUCACCAUCAUCAGUGGAUGCCUUUGCCGUCCGUAGCCUGAGAUUUCAGAUUUGCAGCAAAAAAAAUUUGAUUUUCUCAUUUAUUGGAAUGCUGUGCAGUUAUUUGUACCUUGCAGCCAUCCAUUACAAUGUCACCAAGCCGUAACAAAAGCAGGAGAGGGAAAGUACAAAGCUAUGUUCCCAAAACACACAAGUGACAUACCUUAUGUGAAGGAUGUGAUCAGGC
Long non-coding RNA from Paramisgurnus dabryanus, 475 nucleotides. RefSeq lists it as uncharacterized. NCBI's taxonomy places the organism in Eukaryota, Metazoa, Chordata, Actinopteri, Cypriniformes, Cobitidae. The record is from RefSeq and is a predicted model, not a curated record.